ACGGCGCACGGGUGCGUAACACGUGGGCAAUCUGCCCUUCGAUGGGGAAUAACUCCGGGAAACCGAAGCUAAUUCCGCAUAACAUUCCUUGGACCCCGGUUCGAGGAUUCAAAGCCGCAAGGCGUCGAAGGAGGAGCCCGCGCCCGAUUAGCUAGUUGGGGAGGUAACGGCUCACCAAGGCAAUGAUCGGUAGCUGGUCUGAGAGGAUGGCCAGCCACACUGGAACUGAGACACGGUCCAGACUCCUACGGGAGGCAGCAGUGGGGAAUCUUGCACAAUGGGCGAAAGCCUGAUGCAGCGACGCCGCGUGGGGGAUGAAGCAUUUCGGUGUGUAAACCCCUUUCGACCGGGAAGAAUGCCCGCAAGGGAGUGACGGUACCGGUAUAAGAAGCCCCGGCUAACUACGUGCCAGCAGCCGCGGUAAGACGUAGGGGGCCAGCGUUGUUCGGAAUUACUGGGUGUAAAGGGUUCGUAGGCGGUGUGGCAAGUCGGGAGUGAAAUCUAUGGGCUUAACCCAUAGGCUGCUUCCGA
RNAcentral lists this ribosomal RNA (531 nucleotides) under uncultured bacterium. RNAcentral describes it as "bacterial SSU rRNA". It matches the Rfam family "Bacterial small subunit ribosomal RNA", at positions 95 to 630 of the family's 1533-position model. The record is from RNAcentral.